UGUUGACUCAGAGAUGGACCAGCAGAGUUCAGAGAGCAGAAGAGAGAGGUUCCCAAUGUCUUGCCCGUGUGUGAACAUGGUGGUGACAGAGGUGGCUCUGAAGGUCAGUGAAGGACAGACAAACUCUCUGAUAAGUGGAGGUGGGGGUAAUCGUACCUCAGAUCCCCUAGAAAUGUUAAGAUAAUAAAUCUGUGUGGUUUUAAGAAGCUAGUUUGGGUUGAAACUGACGGUCCUGAACCAAGCCAGAACACAGAUUGGGACUUGAACCCAUGUGCCUGGACUUGACCUGGCCUAAACCCAGAUUGGGACUUGAACCCGAGGUUUUAAAUAAGAAUCCCUCACCCUGUAUCUGGACUCACUGAGGCUCAGGUUCUUCAUGUCUCUAUGUAGAAGGAAUUCAGCAAGAGACAAAGUGAUAGGCAAGAAAUAGAUUUAUUAAGAUAGGAUGCUUGUGAGAGGUGCAAGUGGGCAGGCCUGGAAGCUCUGCCCUAGGAUCCAGUGGGAGACAGUUUUAUCCUCCAAAGGGAGAAGGAGUUGGAAAAGCCUGCCCCUUCCUUUCUGGGAGUAGCAGCUCUGUAUUCAAAUCAGCAAAAGGGUGGUCCUCACCCAUUGGCCUGAGGCAGUUCUCGCACUUCCACUAGUCAAGCAAGCCUGCCUUGUGCUGAUGGCUUUUGUGAGCAAUUUAUUAAUUUACAGUGAUCUCCCAAAGUCCCCUAGAGUUUCCUCUUUAUCUAGGAUCUUCUACUGGGACGUCUACCACUACCCGUGCUGUGCCGACUCCAUCCCUAUCAUCUGGUCUUGCCCCUCCCUGCAGAAAGUGGUAUCUGUUUGCUAUGAGUCUCAGUCCAAACUUUCAUUUCAAAUUAUUGUGAAACCAGAAUUCUAUAUCCAGCUAAACUAUCCCGAUGUUCAAGGGUAAAUGAAGACAUCUUCCUACAUAGAAGGAGUUAAAAACAUUUAUCUCCUACAUGAAAAGAAACGCACACUCAUAUAGACACACAGCUCCAUAAGGAUGAACUGUAGCAAAAUUAAAAGGGAUCUAUUUAAAUCGAAGCACAGGCUCCAGGAACCUGGACCUAAUUCAGGUGUAUGAGGGAAAUGCAUGUCGGGAACACAGCUUUUGUGGGCCUGGAAAACAGGGGGAAAAAAGGACGAGAUUAAAGAAGAAUGACUUUGGAGUUUCUAAGUGGCUUAGCAGUGAAGGAUCCCGUGUUGUCACUGCUGUGGCCUGGGUCUCUGGUGUGGUGCAGGUUUGAUCCCUGGUGUGGAAACUUCCCUAUGCCGUGGGCAUGACCAAAAUAAAUAAAUAAAUAAAGACGAAUGACUUUGCAAACAAAGUAGUUUCUGCUCAACAAGCUCUCUGAUAAAGAACCAGGAAGCUCCUGGGAUGUGAUGAAAGAAACACGGAUAUUUUUCUCUCAACAAUAAAACUGAAGAAAAACAAAAAGCCCCAUAAGAAAGUUGUGGCAGACCCUGAAGCCACUUGGUCUAGGGACAUGGAAUGUCUUCUCCACCACCGGAAAAUAUACCCCAAAAGCCUCGAGUACAGACAUGGAUCCUGCCGGCUUUGCCUUACACGUUCCAUCAACAUUCUUUAGCUAAUUAGGUGAAUUGAAAGAGAAAAUAAAAGGAGGCUUUUCUGACCCACUUUGUGGUGACAGCUCAGGAAUGUUGUGAUGGGAGUGGAAGCCGCAGGAAGCGGGGUGCAGGGGCCGGUCCCCUAACCUACGGAAUUGUACCUGAUGUUGGUACCUGGCCGCAUGGAAUGCCCCAGUGCCAGGAUGAGGGCUCUGAGUCCAGCUGAUUCCAGGAGUCCACAGGCAACAAGCUCAUCGCAGUUGGUUGCUGUGGAAUAUUAAUCACUUUAAGUAUCAGAUUUGACCUAUGUCACAGGCUCCCUCGAUUUCUUUCAGAAGACAGCGACGGCCACAUAGACAUGGGGCCCCGUGAACCUGAUGGGCAGGAUACGGGAGCAUCCAAGGAUGCAGGCCUCCCAGAGGUACCACCACCUCAUGGAUGGGAGAGCUUCUAAUAACAUGGAGUUAUGUCUCCUUCUCCGUGUAUUGACUCACCCUUCUUUACAGAAAACAGUAUUUGUAUAAUGAUAUCAUCAACUGCAUUGACUAUUUUUUAUUUUAUUUUGUUUAUUUGUUUUAUUAUUAUUAUUAUUAUUAUUUUUAGGGCUGCUCCUGAGGCAUAUGGAGGUUCCCAAGCUAGGGGUCCAAUCGGAGCUAUAGCUGCCAGCCUACACCACAGCCACAGCAAUGCAGGAUCCACGCCUCAUCUGCGACCUACACCACAGCUCACGGCAACACCAGCUGCUUAACCUACUGAGCGGGGCCAGAGAUCAAACCUGCGUCCUUUGGAUACUAGUCAGAUUCGUUUCUGCUGAGCCAGGACGGGAAGCCUGACUUUAGUUUUUAAAAUUAACCCAUAGGCAAUUAAGUUGUUGAGGCAAGAGUUGAUUAUAGAUGAAACAUUAAUAUUAUAAGGCCUGAUAAAUGAAAAGUCAUGAUGGAGCUGACGGAACUAGGAGGAUGGUACUCAGCGGGGGAGGAUAGGAUAGGAGAAAUAGUUUCUUCAUCUUCCGUAGCAGAAAACCAAGAAAUAGUUUAGCAGUAACGGCUUAUACUUAAAUUUAGUACAAAUAGUAUAUAGUUGUUGAAACGAGAGUUAGAGGUUUUCAUAUAUUUUUAGAGUUAAAAAUAUUAAAUUGACCCAAUAAAAACUAUUGUUAUAAUUAAGAAACUUCUGGAAGGUAAGAAAGGAAAAAGCAUCAUGAGCUAACUAUUUCAUCUACAGAGUGGGGAGUCAAACUGCUAAUCAGAGAUAUAUUAUCAGGGAACGAAGACUAGGUGAUGGGGAGAGAUUGGGGACUUUUUUUUUUUUUUUAANUCUCGCCCUUUCUAACCCUUUCGCUCACCGAUCCAAAACACUCUAUGGAUGUUAAAAAGCAAAAAGCAGCUGAUCGCUUUCAAAAUGCGGUCUCUUGAAAUGUGAAGAUGUGUGAUGGGAGCCUCGGGAGAGAAGACAGCAGCCGGCAGGUGAGAUCGCAAAGCCGCCUCAGGUGGGCCCGUGGACUGGAUGUCCUUGCUGGGGGCCCCAGCGUGGGGUUGCUCAGGCUCACCUGGCGGGCGAGCUCUUUUUCUCCCACCCCUUAUAGCCUGCUCUGGAAUCUUCUCUGACUCUGAGACCAGCUCGCUGGUGGGGGAGGGGAGGGCAGAAUCGCAGUCUCACGUUUGCAAAGCUUCGGGCAAAGGUUCUCUCUGCUCCAUCCUGGCGGUCUGCUUUGUUCCUGUGUGUCUGGGUGGGGUGGGGGGUGGGGCGCCCGGGCGCCUCCCCUCCCCCCUGAAGCCAGAAAUCCCUGGGGUGGACCCAGUGUAAGGGCAGGCAGGGGAGGGAGCAGGGCCAGCUCAGGGACUUGAUGCUGGGUUGGGGAGUGACAAGGUCUGAUUUCUACUUGAGAGAAAUCCCAGCCUCCCAGGGGAGCAGAGCCUGGAGGCAGGAAGGCCAGAUUGUCACCCGUCCCAGGGACACAGGCAGGAGGUGACGAGGCAGCAGAGGGACAGCUGUGCUGGGGCUGGAGGAGGGAUCCAGUGUCCCUGGGACCUGGGAGAACCAGCUUGGCCUCUUCCGGGACCCCCAUGGCUGCCUCGUGCAUGAUGCGUUUACCACUGCGGUUUGGGGGUCACCUGUGAACGUGGGCCUGUCUGGCCGUGCACACCUUUGCCCUGAGCAUGGUGAGCCUGAUGUCUCGUGGACGGCAGGACGCCGCAGGUGCGUGACCUGGACGGGUCCGGAACUGGAGUCCCGCUGCGCCCGCUCCGGGCUCUGCGCUCUGCCCUCCUGGAUGAGGCCUCACUCCCGCAGUGGGGAAUUUCAGAAGUGAAAUUCGAAGUUGCUACUGAUUUGAGUCACCUUUUCUUCUUCUUUCAAUAAUGACUCUUGAGUGAAAAUUAGGCUGCUGUGUGGGUGGCUGUUAAGGGUGCCUCGUUUCCACUUCGGAGAGCUGCCCACACAGCAGAUUUUAGUAGCACUGGAAGUGGGACCCGAUGUUGCCUCCCAGCUGCUAUAUGCCAAUAAAAAGCCCUUAAGCUGAUUAUAAGGAUACCAAUUUAAAUGUCCGGGUACCAUUUCCAUGAGGGGAGAAAUGUCUUCAUUGAUUCUGAGGCCUCACGUCCCCUCUGGGGGCACAUCCACCUGUGACUCUCUCUGGCAGAGGGUGGCCCCGGCAGGGGAGGGGCAGCUGCGGAAAGAGCACUGGACACAGAGUCAGGGCACCAGGGUCCAGCUGCUGACCUGCCGCUGUACUGUGGUUUAAGAGAGUCGCUUCUUGGAGUCCCUCUCAUGGCUCAGUGGAAAUGAACUGACUAGCAUCCAUGAGGACGCAGGUUCGAUCCCUGGCCUCGCUCAGUGGGUUAAGGAUCCGGCGUUGCUGUGGUGUAGGUCGCAGAUGUGGCUCAGAUCCUGCGUUGUUGUGGCUGUGGUGUAGGCCGGCAGCUGCAGCUCUGAUUUGAGCCCUAUCCUGGGAACCUCCAUAUGCCGCAGGUGCGGCCUUAAAAAGAC
RNAcentral lists this long non-coding RNA (4566 nucleotides) under Sus scrofa (pig). RNAcentral's name for it is "lncRNA (ENSSSCG00040028943.1)". The record is from RNAcentral. Lineage: Eukaryota; Metazoa; Chordata; Mammalia; Artiodactyla; Suidae.